RNAcentral lists this transfer RNA (75 nucleotides) under Caudoviricetes sp. RNAcentral's name for it is "tRNA-Gln". It matches the Rfam family "tRNA". From Rfam's summary of the family: Transfer RNA (tRNA) molecules are approximately 80 nucleotides in length. Their secondary structure includes four short double-helical elements and three loops (D, anti-codon, and T loops). Further hydrogen bonds mediate the characteristic L-shaped molecular structure. tRNAs have two regions of fundamental functional importance: the anti-codon, which is responsible for specific mRNA codon recognition, and the 3' end, to which the tRNAs corresponding amino acid is attached (by aminoacyl-tRNA synthetases). tRNAs cope with the degeneracy of the genetic code in two manners: having more than one tRNA (with a specific anti-codon) for a particular amino acid; and 'wobble' base-pairing, i.e. permitting non-standard base-pairing at the 3rd anti-codon position. Lineage: Duplodnaviria; Heunggongvirae; Uroviricota; Caudoviricetes. The record is from RNAcentral.
UGGGGUAUAGCCAAGCGGUAAGGCAAGGGGCUUUGACCCCCUGAUGCGUUGGUUCGAUCCCAACUACCCCAGCCA